This 411-nucleotide ribosomal RNA is filed under the name bacterium enrichment culture clone ALO1_GLFRUDD03GA94N. RNAcentral's name for it is "bacterial SSU rRNA". It matches the Rfam family "Bacterial small subunit ribosomal RNA", at positions 9 to 420 of the family's 1533-position model. The record is from RNAcentral.
GAGUUUGAUCCUGGCUCAGAUUGAACGCUGGCGGCAUGCCUUACACAUGCAAGUCGAACGGCAGCACGGGAGCUUGCUCCUGGUGGCGAGUGGCGAACGGGUGAGUAAUGCAUCGGAACGUAUCCUGGAGUGGGGGAUAACGUAGCGAAAGUUACGCUAAUACCGCAUAUUCUGUGAGCAGGAAAGCGGGGGGACCUUCGGGCCUCGCGCUCUUGGAGCGGCCGAUGUCGGAUUAGCUAGUUGGUGAGGUAAAGGCUCACCAAGGCGACGAUCCGUAGCAGGUCUGAGAGGAUGAUCUGCCACACUGGAACUGAGACACGGUCCAGACUCCUACGGGAGGCAGCAGUGGGAAUUUUGGACAAUGGGGGCAACCCUGAUCCAGCCAUGCCGCGUGAGUGAAGAAGGCCUCGG